GUUAUUUUACAUGGAUAACUGUGGUAAUUCUAGAGCUAAUACAUGCAGCAAGCCUUGACCCUUACGGGCAAGGCGCAGUUAUUAGAUCAAAAACCAAUCGGUUGCAUCUUCGGAUGUAGCCGUUAGUUUGGUGACUCUGAGUAACCACAGCGAACCGUAUGGCCUCGUGCUCGACGGUCUGUCAGUCAAGCAACUGCCUUAUCAGCUUGUUGUUAGGUUAUAUGCCUAACAAGGCUUCAACGGGUAACGAACGAUCGGGGUCGGAUAUCGGAGAGGGAGCUUGAGAAACGGCUACCACUUCCAAGGAAGGCAGCAGGCGCGCAAAUUACCCACUCUCGGCAUGAGGAGGUAGCGAUAAAAUGUAUCGAUGCGGGGCCAUUAGUGCCUUCGUAAUCGGAAUGAGUACACUUUAAAUCCUAUAACAAGGACCUAUUGGAGGGCAAGUCUGGUGCCAGCAGCCGCGGUAAUUCCAGCUCCAAUAGCGUAUAUUAAUGCUGCUGCGGUUAAAAAGCUCGUAGUCGGAUCUGGGUUACCGGCGGGUACCGCAUGUUGCUUCAUGCAGCAUGUUGUGUACUAUACGUGUCGCUUCGGCGGCACUGCCAGUGUAAUGCUGCCUCACGGGUACGUUACGCUGGUCGCCGGAACCACGGGCCGGGUUGAGCAGCAUGCUCUUCAUUGGGUGUGUUGUUUACUCGGUGCGUUUACUUUGAAAAAAUUGGAGUGCUCAAAGCAAGCGUACAGUCGCUAUGCGGCUUGAACAGUGGUGCAUGGAAUAAUGAAAUAGGGCCUCGGUUCUAUUUUGUUGGUUUCAAGAUAUCGAGGUAAUGAUUAAGAGGGACAGACGGGGACGUUUGUAUUGCGACGUUAGAGGUGAAAUUCUUGGAUCGUCGCAAGACACACUAAUGCGAAAGCAUUCGUCUAGAAUGUUUUCAUUGAUCAAGAACGAAAGUUAGAGGUUCGAAGGCGAUCAGAUACCGCCCUAGUUCUAACCAUAAACGAUGCCAACCAGCGAUCCGUCGGUGUUCUCAAUUAUGAAUGACCCGACGGGCAGCUUCCGGGAAACCAAAGUUUUCGGGUUCCGGGGGAAGUAUGGUUGCAAAGCUGA
Molecule: ribosomal RNA, 1105 nt
Filed under: Echiniscus granulatus
Lineage: Eukaryota; Metazoa; Tardigrada; Heterotardigrada; Echiniscoidea; Echiniscidae
Description: SSU rRNA
Rfam family: Eukaryotic small subunit ribosomal RNA
Source: RNAcentral